RNAcentral lists this ribosomal RNA (502 nucleotides) under uncultured Glomeromycotina. RNAcentral's name for it is "partial small subunit ribosomal RNA". It matches the Rfam family "Eukaryotic small subunit ribosomal RNA", at positions 591 to 1092 of the family's 1831-position model. Lineage: Eukaryota; Fungi; Glomeromycota. The record is from RNAcentral.
CCAAUAGCGUAUAUUAAAGUUGUUGCAGUUAAAAAGCUCGUAGUUGAACUUCGGGGUCUACCCAUUGGUCAGGCUUAAUUGUCUGCACUGGUGAGAUGGAUCUCUACCUUCUGAGGAACUCUCAUGCCAUUUAUUUGGUGUGGUUGGAAAUCAGGACUGUUACUUUGAAAAAAUUAGAGUGUUUAAAGCAGACUAUCGUCUGAAUACAUUAGCAUGGAAUAAUGAAAUAGGACGGACUGAUUCUAUUUCGUUGGUUUCUAGGAUCACCGUAAUGAUUAAUAGGGAUAGUUGGGGGGAUUAGUAUUCAAUUGUCAGAGGUGAAAUUCUUGGAUUUAUUGAAGAAUAACUACUGCGAAAGCAGUUGCCAAGGAUGUUUUCAUUAAUCAAGAACGAAAGUUAGGGGAUCGAAGACGAUCAGAUACCGUCGUAGUCUUAACCAUAAACUAUGCCGACUAGGGAUCGGACGAAGUUAAUUUUAUGAUGACGCGGGCGGCACAUUACG